Molecule: ribosomal RNA, 497 nt
Filed under: uncultured bacterium
Lineage: Bacteria
Description: partial 16S ribosomal RNA
Rfam family: Bacterial small subunit ribosomal RNA
Source: RNAcentral
GAUGAACGCUGGCGGCGUGCCUAAUACAUGCAAGUCGAGCGAACAGACGAGGAGCUUGCUCCUCUGACGUUAGCGGCGGACGGGUGAGUAACACGUGGAUAACCUACCUAUAAGACUGGGAUAACUUCGGGAAACCGGAGCUAAUACCGGAUAAUAUAUUGAACCGCAUGGUUCAAUAGUGAAAGACGGUUUUGCUGUCACUUAUAGAUGGAUCCGCGCCGCAUUAGCUAGUUGGUAAGGUAACGGCUUACCAAGGCAACGAUGCGUAGCCGACCUGAGAGGGGGGUCGGCCCCCCUUGAAAUGGGCACACGGCCCAGCUCCCGCGGGGGGGCGGCGGUGGGGAUUUUCCCGAAAGGGGGGAAACCCGAAGGGAGCACCGCCGGGGGGGGAAUGAAGGGUUUCGGAGGGAAAAACGUUUUUAUGGGGGAAAAAAAAAUGGUAAAAAAAUGAUGCACGUUUGGACGGAACCAAAAAAAAAACCCAGGCUAAACUCGGG